RNAcentral lists this ribosomal RNA (497 nucleotides) under uncultured bacterium. RNAcentral's name for it is "partial 16S ribosomal RNA". It matches the Rfam family "Bacterial small subunit ribosomal RNA", at positions 28 to 507 of the family's 1533-position model. The record is from RNAcentral.
GAUGAACGCUGGCGGCGUGCCUAAUACAUGCAAGUCGAGCGAACAGACGAGGAGCUUGCUCCUCUGACGUUAGCGGCGGACGGGUGAGUAACACGUGGAUAACCUACCUAUAAGACUGGGAUAACUUCGGGAAACCGGAGCUAAUACCGGAUAACAUGUUGAACCGCAUGGUUCAACAGUGAAAGACGGUCUUGCUGUCACUUAUAGAUGGAUCCGCGCCGCAUUAGCUAGUUGGUAAGGUAACGGCUUACCAAGGCAACGAUGCGUAGCCGACCUGAGAGGGUGAUUGGCCACACUGGAACUGAGACACGGUCCAGACUCCUACGGGAGGCAGCAGUAGGGAAUCUUCCGCAAUGGGCGAAAGCCUGACGGAGCAACGCCGCGUGAGUGAAGAAGGUCUUCGGAUCGUAAAACUCUGUUAUUAGGGAAGAACAAAUGUGUAAGUAACUAUGCACGUCUUGACGGUACCUAAUCAGAAAGCCACGGCUAACUACGUG